CGGAGGGCUAGCGUUGUUCGGAAUUACUGGGCGUAAAGCGCACGUAGGCGGACCAGAAAGUUGGGGUGAAAUCCCGGGCUCAACCUCGGAACUGCCCUCAAAACUAUUGGUCUGGAGUUCGAGAGAGGUGAGUGGAAUUCCGAGUGUAGAGGUGAAAUUCGUAGAUAUUCGGAGGAACACCAGUGGCGAAGGCGGCUCACUGGCUCGAUACUGACGCUGAGGUGCGAAAGCGUGGGGAGCAAACAGGAUU
This 250-nucleotide ribosomal RNA is filed under the name uncultured bacterium. Its description in RNAcentral is "partial 16S ribosomal RNA". It matches the Rfam family "Bacterial small subunit ribosomal RNA", at positions 528 to 779 of the family's 1533-position model. The record is from RNAcentral.